Callithrix jacchus (white-tufted-ear marmoset) is the source of this 104-nucleotide small nuclear RNA. NCBI's taxonomy places the organism in Eukaryota, Metazoa, Chordata, Mammalia, Primates, Cebidae. The record is from Ensembl.
GUGCUUGUUUCAGCAGCACAUAUACUAAAAGCUGGAACAGUACAGAGAUUAGCAUGGCCCCUGCGUGAGGAUGACAAAAAAUUCAUGAAGCAUUUCAUCUUUUU